AUUGAACGCUGGCGGCAGGCCUAACACAUGCAAGUCGAACGGAAACAGGAAACAGCUUGCUGUUUCGCUGACGAGUGGCGGACGGGUGAGUAAUGUCUGGGAAACUGCCUGAUGGAGGGGGAUAACUACUGGAAACGGUAGCUAAUACCGCAUAACGUCGCAAGACCAAAGAGGGGGACCCUCGGGCCUCUUGCCAUCGGAUGUGCCCAGAUGGGAUUAGCUUGUUGGUGGGGUAACGGCUCACCAAGGCGACGAUCCCUAGCUGGUCUGAGAGGAUGACCAGCCACACUGGAACUGAGACACGGUCCAGACUCCUACGGGAGGCAGCAGUGGGGAAUAUUGCACAAUGGGCGCAAGCCUGAUGCAGCCAUGCCGCGUGUAUGAAGAAGGCCUUCGGGUUGUAAAGUACUUUCAGCGGGGAGGAAGGGAGUAAAGUUAAUACCUUUGCUCAUUGACGUUACCCGCAGAAGAAGCACCGGCUAACUCCGUG
This 490-nucleotide ribosomal RNA is filed under the name uncultured bacterium. RNAcentral's name for it is "partial 16S ribosomal RNA". It matches the Rfam family "Bacterial small subunit ribosomal RNA", at positions 30 to 507 of the family's 1533-position model. The record is from RNAcentral.